UUACCCAACAACACACGCCAACUAAAAACAAGAAAACCCUAAAAGUUCAGCGUUCAUCUUCUCGAUCGAACCCUAAAAGCUAAGGCGCCGUCAGCUUCAUCUUCUCGAUCGAACCCAGCCUUAGCGUCGUUCAUCCAUCUUCGAUCGAACCCAGCCUUGUCUUGUGAAAGUGCAUAUCCCUCCGUUGGCAUUCACUCUCGCUCGCAAGGCCUCCAUCGGCGCUCGCUCUCUCUCUCGCUCAAACCUUACCUCCGUCGACACUGGCUCAAUCGUCGCUGCCUCUCCCUCAAUCGUCAUUCCUCCCUCAAUCGGCGCUCAACCCUCAUCGUAACACAAGAAGAACAAGGAAAUGUUGCCGGAGAACUUCAAAGAACAGCUUGCUUUGUCUGUGAGAAGCAUCCAGUGGAGCUAUGCAAUAUUCUGGUCUACUUCAUCUACCCAACCCGUUGCCCAUUUAGCAGGGUCUUGAGUUGGGGGGAAGGAUAUUACAAUGGAGACAUUAAGACAAGAAAGACAGAUCAAGGAGUGGAACUCAAUUCUGAUCAGAUAGGGUUGCACGGAGUGAGCAGCUUCGAGAGUUAUACAAGUCCCUCAAAGCUGUAGAAGCCAGCCCUCAAACCAAAAGGCCUUCAGCAGCACUGUCUCCGAAGGAUCUCACAGAUACAGAAUGGCUAUAAGGGUUGCUGCCAUGAACUGUAUUGAUAGGCUAAGCAUUGGGGGUCGUAUUGCAUGUUCUGGUAAGAAAAAUGGUACUUAACUGUCAGAACAAUUGGACUUAGCCAUUACUUCUUAAUUAAUAUUACCUUGAUAUAAGAUUUUCUAAACAGGAAACAAAUGUCUUAAUUGAUGGUUUCUAUACUUGUCAAAAUGUUUCUAUAACAAAUGCUUGUUAUGCAUGCUUUAGUUUGUUGAAGGGGUGCAUGGGUAUUAUUAAAGCUCAUUCUUCAUCUUAUACAGUAAAAAGAGGUAAAUAAAACUGCAACUGUGAUUAAUUGUUUGUAAAAAUUUUGAUUCCUCUGUUUCCUGAGAAUUUGAGCUGUUUCCUGAGAAUUCGAGCAUGGUUUUGAUUCCUCUAUUUGUUUAGCAAAUGUCCUUGAACUGAUCUGAACUUUAAUCUGAAAUUUUAACACUUAUUUUUACAUUUUAUUAGUUCAGCCUUAAGUUUGGGCUGAACAUUCUACAGGGCAUUGAAGGUGAAAACAAGAAUUCAAAGAAAUCGCUGAAGUAGGACAAUAAUUGGAGGCAGAGUUCAUAUGGCCGUUCAAGUUCCUCUUCGUCUUCCUGGAAUUCAUAUCCUCAGCCAGCUUAUGGUCAAGGGGGUCAUGCCUAUGAGCCACAACCAACUCCUUAUCCGACGGUGCAACCCUAUUAUGCUCCUCCUCCUCCUACUACUCAAAACUGUGGCCAUGAACAAUCUUAUACUAGCGGUGAAGUCACCCGCCCCGACAAUAGAAGGAAGUUAGAGAGGAAGUAUUCGAGAAUUGCUGAUAAUUACAAUUUCAUAGAUGAGGUGACUGAGGCUCUUGCAUGGGCAGGCCUUGAGUCUUCUAAUCUUAUUCUUGGUAUCGAUUUUACUAAGAGCAAUGAAUGGACAGGAAAGAAUUCAUUUAAUCGAAAAAGCUUGCAUCACACUGGAAAUGUUCCAAAUCCAUAUGAACAAGCAAUAUCUAUUCUUGGGAAAACAUUGCUGCAUUUGAUGAGGAUAACUUGAUUCCUUGUUUUGGAUUUGGAGAUGCAUCAAUACAUGAUCAAGAUGUCUUCAGCUUCUAUCCAGAUGACGGGUUUUGCAAUGGUUUUGAGGAAGUGUUGAGUCGGUACAGGGAAAUUGUUCCUCAUAUUUGACUUGCAGGUCCCACUUCGUUUGCACCAAUUGUUGAAAUGGCCAUAACAAUUGUUGAGCAGAGUGGAGGCCAAUACCAACGUGGAAUUCUUUUUUUCAUUUUAUUUUAUUUUUCUGCUGAGUAGCAAAUAGUGGUUAUUGAAUAAUGUCUAGCAAUUUCUUUUUGAGGAACUGGACUUAUUUGUGGAAUAAUGUCUAAAGCAUAUUGGUGUGCAUCAAAAUUAUUCCCUUCCUAUUGAUAUAUGCAAUUUCUUCUUUCUUAUUUUAUAUAUUGUCUCAAUAAUAAAAAUACAAAUAUAAAGGCAUACAUACACUGUGAUUUAAAAUUAUAUAUGAAUUUUAAUUUGCAAGGUUUUAUUAGGAAGAUUAGAAAAGAAGAAUAGUUUAUUGAAUAAACUUAUAGCCACACUUAAAAAGGGUGGCCAUAUUGUAUAGUUGAGUUAACGGCCACGUUCAAAAAACGUGGCAAUAACUGAAAAAAACCCCUAUUGGCACGCUUAUUAAGCAUAGCAAUAGCUUUUUCUAUCGGCACGUUUCAAAAGCGUAGCCAUAUCUUCACCUAUCGGCACAUUUUUGAAGGGUAGCCAAAGCCAAACUAAUGAGCACGCUUUUAAAGCGUGGUGAUACGUCCAUUUUUUGGCACGCUUUUAAAGCGUGGCCAUAGGAUAAUACAUAUGGCCAUGUUUUUAAGCGUGACAAUAGAAAAAAAACGUGGCAAAAAAUAAAGCGUGCCAAUAGAUUGACAAAAGCGUGGUGAUAGAACAACCGACACCCUGGCAGAUGUGACUCUUUUAAAAGCGUGCCGAUAGCUCAAAAAGCUUGGUAAAAAGCUAUUGAUACACUUUUUUUGCACUUUUCGGUACGCUUUAAAAGCGUGGCAA
Arachis stenosperma is the source of this 2721-nucleotide RNA transcript. It is a transcript of the gene named E3 ubiquitin-protein ligase RGLG2-like, with no coding region annotated. The record is from RefSeq and is a predicted model, not a curated record. Lineage: Eukaryota; Viridiplantae; Streptophyta; Magnoliopsida; Fabales; Fabaceae. The transcript has 9 exons.